GUCCCUGUUAAACGGCGAAUAGGGCCCUGAGCAGACCGUGCCUUUAGUCCGGGGAAGCUCCGGGUUUAGGUGGGUCUCUCGGUUGGGCUUUCCCCCACCAAGGACCCCUUUUUCCCCUGCAGAAGCCACGUUUGCAGCACCACAUCCCCCGGAUGACCGUGCCCGCUGACUCACCGGAGGCUUCAUAACUCGGAGGACGUUGUUUGUUUUCUGAACUGGCCUUGGGAUGGAAUUGUGUCUGCCUUAGACCAUUUUAAUGCAUUUCCCCAUGGAGGCCCAGUGUCCCCCAAAGUGGUUGCCAUUAUAAAAAACUUGCUCCAGAAUUAUAGUAGAGAAGUGGAUGCAUGUUCGAUUCCUGCACUCCCCGCCUACAGACCUCAGAGCCCAGGCCAUGGCAGUAUUGCAAAGGGACAACAAACCCAUGGGUCCCUCCAGAAUGGACUGUAAAUGAAAUAUGUUCUAGUGUCUUUAAAGAAUAAAAUAGAAAUUUAUUUAAAAGUGUUGCAAAAUUCAUAGUAGCUCAUGAAUAUGUAUUUCUCCAACACC
Molecule: long non-coding RNA, 546 nt
Filed under: Equus caballus (horse)
Lineage: Eukaryota; Metazoa; Chordata; Mammalia; Perissodactyla; Equidae
Description: lncRNA (ENSECAG00000053942.1)
Source: RNAcentral